Long non-coding RNA from Sander lucioperca (pikeperch), 2198 nucleotides. RefSeq lists it as uncharacterized. Lineage: Eukaryota; Metazoa; Chordata; Actinopteri; Perciformes; Percidae. The record is from RefSeq and is a predicted model, not a curated record. The transcript is spliced from 3 exons.
AAUAAUAACAAUCUCUUAGAGUGAAUUAAUGGGAACUGACAGUAUGAGUUGCUCGUAUUGAAGAGCGGCUAUGAUGUUGGUUUUCCCCACAUGUAAUGUCCACUCUUAAGCUACUGACUUCCUGCUGAAGUAUGUCUUUUAUAAUGUUUUAGUAAGGAGUAUUACAAAUACUGUAGCAACUCAAUAUUUUUCACAUUCACCCAUAAUAUUGGUAGGGCAUAUUUUUCUAACUGCAAUCAAAAAAACAAGUUUGUAUUUUUGCAUUUCAAAAGGUUUUGCUUGAGAGUCUAAAAGUUUUGCGACUCAUAACGUUUUGGUUGAGAUGCAGUGAUUACAGUGAGAGAAAUAUGCUGUCAAAACCUUUUUCUGCUUGUGUUAAAAAAAGAACAAAUAACGAAUAACUCCACAGAAACUGGUAUUCAUUCUUCGAUUAUGAAAAAGGACCAACCAUGCUCAGAUCUGAACAAAAUCCGUCCACAUCAGGGCAUGUCAGAUAAAUACUAAAUGUGUGUAAACACAUCACAGUCCAGAAACAAUUGAAAAAGAUUCAUGUUUAACACUGAUUGUAGCUAAGCAUCUCUCAUGCAACAUCCUACUAAGUGUCAUUGAAAAAUACACGCUGUGGCAGUAAAACAAAUAUAAAAUGUAGUUGUAUUCUGUAAUAGAAAUGCAGAAAUUUCAUUUUAGAAUUUGUGAAAAUAGUGUGAAUGAAGGAACAUGUUGCCUCAGUGUGUUCCCUGCAUGUUCCGAGGCUGGACUCGUUGGUAUUUGGACUCAGACUUGUCUCGGACUCGGUCAUUGGAAUUGCCAAAUAUUUUAGUUUGUCUCGCCAGAGUCCAGCACUUUAUGCUUUUGUUCUAAAGUAACUUCCUCCUUCAAAACUAAACCAUUAAUGAAGUGCGCUUGUUGAGAAAAACAGGUAUUAAUUUAAUUUAAAAUCCAUCUAGAACAGCGGGCACUGUGUACUAUUGAUUCUUCAGGAGACUACCACUAUAGGAACUUUUCCAACUCUUUAGUGACACCUGUUGUAAUUUGUUACAAAUUUCAUACCAGAAUAACGUGUAAAAUGUGAAGUUGCACUUCAGCUUUAUGUGACUUGUGUGAAAUUGUUAUACUUAAAGUAAAUAAUAUGGCCUAAUUUGAUCCUACAGUGUGUUACUCUGCACUUGCUUUUUGAUGAUAACGAAUAAAAAGCAAAAUGAUCAUCCUAAAAUAUAAGCUAUGUCUCCCACAUCACAUAAAUUAUGAACAAGUAAGUAAGUGUUCUUGAAGAGGAUUGUUUUUUUUUCUGUCUCGGUAUUGACUGUCUCUCAUUUGGACUCGGUCUUGACUUGGACUCGACUCGGUCUCGACUAGUCCUGGUCUUGGACUUGUGUUGGACUCGACAAAGGUGGACUUGACUACAGCCCUGCCACUGCCACUGUCAAUGAGAGCAAAUGUUAAAGAAAAAAUAAUGUGAAAAACCAAAAGCAGCCUUUGCUCUAUCCAAUGUCCACUGCAGAAAGUGGACAUUGGAUAGACACACACACACACACACACACACACACACACACACACACACACACACACACACACACACACACACAGUUAGUUAGUUUGACAUGUUUUAUCUGGAAAAGCACCAGUGUAAUUAGAUGUGCUUGGUCCAGGGCCUAUUUUUCUGCGUUGACAAGUCAAAAUGGCCAAUUAUUUCUAUUAGUAUUCUUUCAAUGCUUUUUUUUUUAAUCAAAUGUCAUGACAACAAUUCACCACUAGGAUGCAGCAAAUGCCAAAAAAAAAGUGAAACAUGGGUCUGUUGUGGUAGGGAGCCAUGAUUAAUGCUGUCACUGGGAGAUGUGUUAAAAGUAUAGUAAGCAUGAAUUUGUGUUGUUAACCCAAAUCUUCUCUUUGUGCUCCUUUGGGCUCCCCUUUGACAACUCAAAAAAACCUUUCCAAGUUUCAUGAGAAUUGCUUUUAGACAUGAUUUUCAACUAAUGACAUAUUUCAUAUUUUUCAGGUGUACUUAUUUUAUACUGUUUUUACUACCUUUUAUUAUUUACUCUCAAGGUUUGUGUCCAUUGUCAGCGUCAUUUCCCUGCUUCCCAUUCAUUUUUAGGCGUCGAGUGAGGAGCGGCCGGCUCGGCUCGCCGCCUCUCAAAAUCUGACGAAAUCUUUUAAACUGACCUUUGUCGAACUGAAAUGAACUCAGCAACUGCAUG